This 586-nucleotide ribosomal RNA is filed under the name uncultured bacterium. RNAcentral's name for it is "bacterial SSU rRNA". It matches the Rfam family "Bacterial small subunit ribosomal RNA", at positions 338 to 917 of the family's 1533-position model. The record is from RNAcentral.
CUUACGGGAGGCAGCAGUGGGAAUAUUGGACAAUGGGGGCAACCCUGAUCCAGCCAUGCCGCGUGUGUGAAGAAGGCCCUCGGGUUGUAAAGCACUUUCAGCGAGGAAGAACGCCUAGCGGUUAAUACCCGCUAGGAAAGACAUCACUCGCAGAAGAAGCACCGGCUAACUCCGUGCCAGCAGCCGCGGUAAUACGGAGGGUGCAAGCGUUAAUCGGAAUUACUGGGCGUAAAGCGCGCGUAGGUGGCUUGAUAAGCCGGUUGUGAAAGCCCCGGGCUCAACCUGGGAACGGCAUCCGGAACUGUCAAGCUAGAGUGCAGGAGAGGAAGGUAGAAUUCCCGGUGUAGCGGUGAAAUGCGUAGAGAUCGGGAGGAAUACCAGUGGCGAAGGCGGCCUUCUGGACUGACACUGACACUGAGGUGCGAAAGCGUGGGUAGCAAACAGGAUUAGAUACCCUGGUAGUCCACGCCGUAAACGAUGUCGACCAGCCGUUGGGUGCCUAGCGCACUUUGUGGCGAAGUUAACGCGAUAAGUCGACCGCCUGGGGAGUACGGCCGCAAGGUUAAAACUCAAAUGAAUUGACGGA